RNAcentral lists this ribosomal RNA (236 nucleotides) under uncultured bacterium. RNAcentral describes it as "partial 16S ribosomal RNA". It matches the Rfam family "Bacterial small subunit ribosomal RNA", at positions 111 to 339 of the family's 1533-position model. The record is from RNAcentral.
UAACACGUGAGCAACCUGCCCUUGUGCGGGGGAUAACCAGGGGAAACUCUGGCUAAAACCGCAUGACAUCGCUUUUCCGUAGGGGAAGGUGAUCAAAGCUGCUUUAGGGCAGUGCGCAAGGAGGGGCUCGCGGCGUAUCAGCUAGUUGGUGAGGUAACGGCUCACCAAGGCGAUGACGCGUAGGGGGUCUGAGAGGAUGACCCCCCACAUUGGGACUGAGAUACGGCCCAGACUCC